GCGGAUAUGGUGUAAUGGCAGCAUCUGAGUUUUCCAAACUUUAGGUACGAGUUCGAGUCUCGUUAUCCGCU
Molecule: transfer RNA, 71 nt
Filed under: Moorena sp. SIO2B7
Lineage: Bacteria; Bacillati; Cyanobacteriota; Cyanophyceae; Coleofasciculales; Coleofasciculaceae
Description: tRNA-Gly
Rfam family: tRNA
About the family: Transfer RNA (tRNA) molecules are approximately 80 nucleotides in length. Their secondary structure includes four short double-helical elements and three loops (D, anti-codon, and T loops). Further hydrogen bonds mediate the characteristic L-shaped molecular structure. tRNAs have two regions of fundamental functional importance: the anti-codon, which is responsible for specific mRNA codon recognition, and the 3' end, to which the tRNAs corresponding amino acid is attached (by aminoacyl-tRNA synthetases). tRNAs cope with the degeneracy of the genetic code in two manners: having more than one tRNA (with a specific anti-codon) for a particular amino acid; and 'wobble' base-pairing, i.e. permitting non-standard base-pairing at the 3rd anti-codon position.
Source: RNAcentral